AGAGUUUGAUCCUGGCUCAGGACGAACGCUGGCGGCGUGCCUAACACAUGCAAGUCGAGCGAUGAAGCCCUUCGGGGUGGAUUAGCGGCGGACGGGUGAGUAACACGUGGGUAACCUGCCUCAAAGAGGGGGAUAGCCUCCCGAAAGGGAGAUUAAUACCGCAUAACAUUAGUUUUUCGCAUGAAGAACUAAUUAAAGGAGUAAUCCGCUUUGAGAUGGACCCGCGGCGCAUUAGCUAGUUGGUGAGGUAAAGGCUCACCAAGGCGACGAUGCGUAGCCGACCUGAGAGGGUGAUCGGCCACAUUGGAACUGAGACACGGUCCAGACUCCUACGGGAGGCAGCAGUGGGGAAUAUUGCACAAUGGGCGAAAGCCUGAUGCAGCAACGCCGCGUGAGUGAUGAAGGCCUUCGGGUUGUAAAGCUCUGUCUUUGGGACGAUAAUGACGGUACCAAAGGAGGAGCCACGU
RNAcentral lists this ribosomal RNA (467 nucleotides) under uncultured soil bacterium. RNAcentral describes it as "bacterial SSU rRNA". It matches the Rfam family "Bacterial small subunit ribosomal RNA", at positions 8 to 496 of the family's 1533-position model. The record is from RNAcentral.